This 1103-nucleotide long non-coding RNA is filed under the name Urocitellus parryii (Arctic ground squirrel). Its description in RNAcentral is "lncRNA (ENSUPAG00010021338.1)". Lineage: Eukaryota; Metazoa; Chordata; Mammalia; Rodentia; Sciuridae. The record is from RNAcentral.
GCACAGCAAGCAGGUGCUGGUACAGAGGAAGGAAGUACUUACUGAGCAGCGUCCUCCUUGUGAGUUGUGCCCGCAUGCUGGGUGCCCGUGCUGUGGCCCGCGCCUACCGGGGGUAACACCUCCCUGCUGGGAGCCCUGCGGGCUGCCAGCCACUUUAUGCCCGCCGGGGCGAUUGGCCAACACCUCGUGAGCGGCCAAUGGGCGAUGGGUGCUGUGGCAUGCCCGCUCCUCCUCCUGUUUUCUUCGAAUUCGUUCUUCGAGGUCAGCCCCACGCCCAAGGAUGAUGCAAACUACAGCCUCAGCCUUCUUGGGGAGAGUGGGAAGCAAGAGGGUCCCUGCCAUCUUCAGGAGCCUGGGCCCAGGGUAAGAGGGAGAGGCUGCAAGCCAGACCUGCAGAGGCCCGGGUCCCUCUUCCCAGGAGGCACCAGCCCUGCAGGACACUGAGGUCUGGGGCUGAGGGGAGCAAGACAUCUUCCCUGUUGAGUGCCCUUCCCGCCCUCUCGCUGGGGCUGUUGGGACAUCUGUGAGCGGAAACCACUGGGCUCUGGGCACAGAGCCAGACCCAGGCUGGCAGCCCCGAGAUUGUGGUUCCAGCCCCAGGACUAGCAUCCCCCAGCCCAGCACUCCCUGUCUUCAAUCCCUCAGCAGGCACCUGCUACCAGCCUCACAUCCUAGGUCUCCCACCCACAGGCAGACCCUUCUCUGCAGACAGAGUCCUUUAGGGGAAACUGGACACUUGGAGCAAGAGAAAAAGGACAUCAGGUUUCAAGCUUUCUGAGCUGCUAUGUGGCCUGACAUAAGUCACUUAACCUGUCUGGGUCCCAGAAACCCAACCUGAGGAAGUCAAAAGCAAAUUUCCCAGCCCACCUCACAGGGCUGCUGCCAUCAUGGACAUAAAAGGCAAAAUCUUUUGAAGGAAAAAGACGAAACUCUAAUUCCAAGUACUAGCUAUUGGGGGGGGCGGGCAGGAUGGGGGAGUGGAGGAGAUGGGGAAGCUGUGAGCUCAGAGGGGAAGCCGGGGAGGGGUAGUGGAGCUGCCGYGGUGACAGUUGGAGACCAGGUUUCACUUUCUCUGAAAGAUAGCGAUCAUGGGUUGGUCCUCU